UGAAUAUUUAAACAUUUUAAAAAGUUAGAAAGUACCGAGUUAGAGUUUGCUGCAAGUAGACAAAGAAAUUUAAGUCUGUUUGAGUCAGUUUGAGUUCUCUUCGUGGAAACCAGACGCUUCUUAAUAAAUACGUGAAACCGGGAGGGCCGUUUGAGCGUCGAAAAGGAGGAGCAGCGUUGGAGGGAAUAGCGACGUUUUAAGACCUUAAAUUCUAGAUUUAUAUCGUGAAACGCCAGGCAAAGC
RNAcentral lists this unclassified non-coding RNA (243 nucleotides) under Bombus terrestris (buff-tailed bumblebee). RNAcentral's name for it is "misc RNA ENSBTSG00005024033.1". The record is from RNAcentral. Lineage: Eukaryota; Metazoa; Arthropoda; Insecta; Hymenoptera; Apidae.